CCUACGGGAGGCAGCAGUGGGGAAUAUUGGGCAAUGAGCGCAAGCCUGACCCAGCAACGCCGCGUGAAGGAAGAAGGCUUUCGGGUUGUAAACUUCUUUUAAGAGGGAAGAGCAGAAGACGGUACCUCUUGAAUAAGCCACGGCUAACUACGUGCCAGCAGCCGCGGUAAUACGUAGGUGGCAAGCGUUGUCCGGAUUUACUGGGUGUAAAGGGCGUGCAGCCGGGAAGACAAGUCAGAUGUGAAAUCCCGGGGCUCAACCGCGGAACUGCAUUUGAAACUGUUUUUCUUGAGUACCGGAGAGGUCAUCGGAAUUCCUUGUGUAGCGGUGAAAUGCGUAGAUAUAAGGAAGAACACCAGUGGCGAAGGCGGAUGACUGGACGGCAACUGACGGUGAGGCGCGAAAGCGUGGGGAGCAAACAGGAUUAGAUACCCGAGUAGUC
Molecule: ribosomal RNA, 442 nt
Filed under: uncultured bacterium
Lineage: Bacteria
Description: partial 16S ribosomal RNA
Rfam family: Bacterial small subunit ribosomal RNA
Source: RNAcentral